This 505-nucleotide ribosomal RNA is filed under the name Penicillium sp. 1110_21. Its description in RNAcentral is "eukaryotic LSU rRNA". The stretch from base 164 to 317 matches the Rfam family "5.8S ribosomal RNA". Lineage: Eukaryota; Fungi; Ascomycota; Eurotiomycetes; Eurotiales; Aspergillaceae. The record is from RNAcentral.
GUGGGGAACAGGGGUCACCUCCACCCGUGUUUUUGUACCUUGUUGCUUCGGUGCGCCCGCCUCACCGCCGCCGGGGGGCUUCUGCCCCCGGGUCCGCGCGCACCGGAGACACCAUUGAACUCUGUCUGAAGAUUGCAGUCUGAGCAUAAACUAAAUAAGUUAAAACUUUCAACAACGGAUCUCUUGGUUCCGGCAUCGAUGAAGAACGCAGCGAAAUGCGAUAACUAAUGUGAAUUGCAGAAUUCAGUGAAUCAUCGAGUCUUUGAACGCACAUUGCGCCCCCUGGUAUUCCGGGGGGCAUGCCUGUCCGAGCGUCAUUGCUGCCCUCAAGCACGGCUUGUGUGUUGGGCUCCGUCCCCCCGGGGACGGGCCCGAAAGGCAGCGGCGGCACCGAGUCCGGUCCUCGAGCGUAUGGGGCUUUGUCACCCGCUCUGUAGGCCCGGCCGGCGCCAGCCGACAACCCAUCAUCCUUUUCAGGUUGACCUCGGAUCAGGUAGGGAUACCC